RNAcentral lists this unclassified non-coding RNA (131 nucleotides) under uncultured fungus. RNAcentral's name for it is "sequence contains ITS1". Lineage: Eukaryota; Fungi. The record is from RNAcentral.
UUAUUUUGUUACUAUUAAGACGUUCAUGACUACAGUGUUUGUAGGUCCGAAGACCACGGUGCACAGGUGUAUGAAUUAAAAAGUGCUUGCGCACAUCUCUAAUGAUCCUUCCGCAGGUUCACCUACGGAAA